AAUUGACGGGACCCGCACGAGCGGUGGAUGAUGUGGAUUAAUUCGAUGCAACGCGAAAAACCUUACCUACCCUUGACAUGUCCGGAAUCCCGAAGAGAUUUGGGAGUGCUCGCAAGAGAACCGGAACACAGGUGCUGCAUGGCUGUCGUCAGCUCGUGUCGUGAGAUGUUGGGUUAAGUCCCGCAACGAGCGCAACCCUUAUCAUUAGUUGCUACGCAAGGGCACUCUAAUGAGACUGCCGGUGACAAACCGGAGGAAGUGGGGAUGACGUCAAGUCCUCAUGGCCCUUAUGGGUAGGGCUUCACACGUCAUACAAUGGUCGGUACAGAGGGUUGCCAAGCCGCGAGGUGGAGCCAAUCCCAGAAAGCCGAUCGUAGUCCGGAUUGUUCUCUGCAACUCGAGAGCAUGAAGUCGGAAUCGCUAGUAAUCGCGGAUCAGCAUGUCGCGGUGAAUACGUUCCCGGGUCUU
Molecule: ribosomal RNA, 468 nt
Filed under: uncultured Thiobacillus sp.
Lineage: Bacteria; Pseudomonadati; Pseudomonadota; Betaproteobacteria; Nitrosomonadales; Thiobacillaceae
Description: bacterial SSU rRNA
Rfam family: Bacterial small subunit ribosomal RNA
Source: RNAcentral